UACGGAGGGUGCAAGCGUUAUCCGGAUUCACUGGGUUUAAAGGGUGCGUAGGUGGAGUGGUAAGUCAGUGGUGAAAUCUCCAAGCUUAACUUGGAAACUGCCGUUGAUACUAUCAUUCUUGAAUAUCGUGGAGGUAAGCGGAAUAUGUCAUGUAGCGGUGAAAUGCUUAGAUAUGACAUAGAACACCAAUUGCGAAGGCAGCUGACUACGCGAAUAUUGACACUGAUGCACGAAAGCGUGGGGAUCAAACAGG
This 253-nucleotide ribosomal RNA is filed under the name uncultured bacterium. Its description in RNAcentral is "partial 16S ribosomal RNA". It matches the Rfam family "Bacterial small subunit ribosomal RNA", at positions 524 to 776 of the family's 1533-position model. The record is from RNAcentral.